This 83-nucleotide transfer-messenger RNA is filed under the name Escherichia coli. RNAcentral's name for it is "partial transfer-messenger RNA". It matches the Rfam family "transfer-messenger RNA", at positions 1 to 85 of the family's 374-position model. From Rfam's summary of the family: Bacterial tmRNA, also known as 10Sa RNA or SsrA, is named for its dual tRNA and mRNA-like properties. The record is from RNAcentral. Lineage: Bacteria; Pseudomonadati; Pseudomonadota; Gammaproteobacteria; Enterobacterales; Enterobacteriaceae.
GGGGCUGAUUCUGGAUUCGACGGGAUUUGCGAAACCCAAGGUGCAUGCCGAGGGGCGGUUGGCCUCGUAAAAAGCCGCAAAAA